RNAcentral lists this ribosomal RNA (698 nucleotides) under Pseudoniphargus daviui. Its description in RNAcentral is "12S ribosomal RNA". The record is from RNAcentral. Lineage: Eukaryota; Metazoa; Arthropoda; Malacostraca; Amphipoda; Allocrangonyctidae.
AUAUAGUAUAUAUAUAAAUUAUAAUUAAUUAAAUAUCUAAUAGUAAAAAAAAAAAAAAGUAAAAUCAUUGCUUAAAUAUUAGUGUAUAUAUGAAUUUUAUAGCUGAGGAAUAGAGUUAGUUAUUUAUUUUUAUAAUAGGAAUAUAUAUUAGAAUUAGUUAAGUUUGUGCCAGCAUCUGCGGUUAGACUAGGAAUUUGAUUAGUAUUUUUUAGGGUUUAUGAAAGUGAGGAUUUAAAGAAUAUUUUUGGUGAAAUAAUAGGUUUGAGGUUUAUUGAUUAGGAUAAUUAUGAUAAUUUUGGUGAAAGCGGGAUUAGAUACCCUGUUAUUUUAAAUUUGUUUCCUCUAAGGAUUAAAGUUAAAUUUAGAAGAUUUGGCGGCUGAGAUAAAUUAAAGGAGUUUGUUUUUUAUUUGAUGUGACUCAUUAGGUUUUACUUGUUUUAUUUAGUAUACCGUCAUUUAGAUAGUUUGUAAUUAAUUAACUAUUGUAAAGGGCUUAAAAAAAUUAGAUCAAGGUGCAGAGAUAGAUAAGGAUAAAUUAACUACAAUAAGAUAAUAUUAGACUUGUCUUUUUUAAGUUAAAAUUGUAGGUGGAUUUAAUUGUAAUUAGAGUAAGAUGAAAUUUAUUUCAGUGUACAAAUUGCCCGUCAUUCUCUUUGAGACAAGUCGAAACAAAGUAGGGCUAUCGGAAGUUGGACCUA